GUGGGGAAUAUUGGACAAUGGGCGCAAGCCUGAUCCAGCCAUGCCGCGUGAGUGAUGAAGGCCCUAGGGUUGUAAAGCUCUUUCACCGAUGAAGAUAAUGACGGUAGUCGGAGAAGAAGCCCCGGCUAACUUCGUGCCAGCAGCCGCGGUAAUACGAAGGGGGCUAGCGUUGUUCGGAAUUACUGGGCGUAAAGCGCACGUAGGCGGAUAUUUAAGUCAGGGGUGAAAUCCCAGAGCUCAACUCUGGAACUGCCUUUGAUACUGGGUAUCUCGAGUAUGGAAGAGGUGAGUGGAAGUCCGAGUGUAGAGGUGAAAUUCGUAGAUAUUCGGAGGAACACCAGUGGCGAAGGCGGCUCACUGGUCCAUUACUGACGCUGAGGUGCGAAAGCGUGGGGAGCAAACAGGAUUAGAUACCCUAGUAGUCC
RNAcentral lists this ribosomal RNA (425 nucleotides) under uncultured bacterium. Its description in RNAcentral is "partial 16S ribosomal RNA". It matches the Rfam family "Bacterial small subunit ribosomal RNA", at positions 354 to 796 of the family's 1533-position model. The record is from RNAcentral.